UCUCCGUUGGUGAACCAGCGGAGGGAUCAUUACAGGAUCGAAAGACUCCUAUAACCCCUGUGAACUUACUACAAAUACGUUGCUUCGGCGGGUGCCCCGGGUCUCCCGGGGCGUUCAGCCCGCCGGCAGCCUUCAAAUUCAGGUUCUUUGCGUUGGCAUCUCGAGUAUAUAAAAAUAAGUUAAAACUUUCAACAACGGAUCUCUUGGUUCUG
Molecule: unclassified non-coding RNA, 212 nt
Filed under: plant metagenome
Description: partial contains small subunit ribosomal RNA, internal transcribed spacer 1, and 5.8S ribosomal RNA
Source: RNAcentral